GUGAGUGAGUCAUUGGUCUGGUUCAAGACCUCUGGCUUCUGCUGGGCCCUCAAUGGGAUUCCUCUUGGAUUUCCUGCUUCCUUCCUCGCUGCUCCAUGUGCGUGCUUUCCAAAACUGUGCAGGGUCAAAGAGGAUGACCUUUCCCAAACAGAGGAGUGCCUGUCUUCCAUCAAGGCUGUGUUCCCCUGCUAGAACCUCCAAAUAAGCUCUCAAGUAUAGAUAUUUUUAAAGAAUGUCACACUUGGGAGGCAUCUGAGGAUAGAUCUCUAACGACAACAAAGAAAGUGGCUGCAGAUUUU
This 299-nucleotide small RNA is filed under the name Microtus ochrogaster (prairie vole). Its description in RNAcentral is "7SK RNA (ENSMOCG00000006092.1)". The record is from RNAcentral. Lineage: Eukaryota; Metazoa; Chordata; Mammalia; Rodentia; Cricetidae.